This is a long non-coding RNA of Syngnathoides biaculeatus (alligator pipefish), 1127 nucleotides long. RefSeq lists it as uncharacterized. The record is from RefSeq and is a predicted model, not a curated record. Lineage: Eukaryota; Metazoa; Chordata; Actinopteri; Syngnathiformes; Syngnathidae. The transcript is spliced from 3 exons.
GUAGCCUGUAUCAAAGAUUUUUGUCGCACCAGGCAUGAUGUUUAGCGCAGCGCCAAAUGUUGAUUUAGAUUAGCAAAAUACUUUCAUUUCCGGUAACAUUCCAGUAAAUCCUUGGCCCUGAUCGAGCACCGCCGAGCCGGACACCUCCCCAUGGGAAACAUGGAGGCUGCAGCCGAGGAGCUGCUGGCCGGCUCUCGGCUACCUGUCACAAUCGAUCAAAUCAUUAACGAUACGCUAUUGGUGAUGCUGACCUAUCGAGAUAGGAGCUAUACGGGGACACUACUUGACUGCAACAAAAAGCACACAAAUGCUGAGCUCCACUGACACAUUGAAAUCACCAGCAGUUAAAACCAGCUCAUUAUUUAUUUGACGAGUGUAACAGACAAUAGACUGCAGAGCCAUAUCUCCAUCCAGACCCUCGGUUGCAACAUUUUUAAAGGCUAUGAGAGGUGCUGCUUUGAUUGGCGGUGACUGAAGUCAGCUGUAAACACUCCUACAGUGGUGCGGGGGAGUCUACAAGCUUACCAACACUGGUCUAACCCACCCCCUGGCAAACAGUUGUGACACCCACCACACCAGAAUCGAGCAGGUCACUAAAAUACAAAAUGUUUGUUGUGUUGAUUUUUUUUUUUUUUACCAUUUCUGAUUUCCUGCUUUUUUAUGAUGUGGCUAAAACAGCUGUCCAGUCCCUCAUGUACCAUGAUAUAAAAAAUCUAGAAAAAUGAGUGUGACAGAAUGGGUUUGCUGUUUUUAUCGAAACCCCAGUUAAGUAGCCAACAUGCCAGACUAAUACAUAUUGCACAGAUAUAUACUGUAAAUAAGAGAUGAGAAAUGACACCUCUGCUGCUGACAGGGAGAAAAAGGUUGAGUCUGUUAGGUCAAUGUCUUCUGGCUCUGAAUUUGAUUUUUUCUCUUGUGGCUCAAAUACCGAAGGGAUGUGUAAGCAUAAGAAACUUGAUUGAUCAUGAAGAAUCCAUUGUUCAAGGCAUGGUAAUAACACUUGAUUGGCAAUUGAGUGGGGCAUUGUUUCAGUGCAUUCAGCAGACACACAGUAUACAAAAUAAGGUAUGUGCUUUGAAACAGUGCGGUUUCAGAGCAGAUACGAAGAGUUUGUUUUCAAAACGAGA